CCUACGGGAGGCAGCAGUGGGGAAUAUUGCACAAUGGGGGGAACCCUGAUGCAGCGACGCCGCGUGGGUGAAGGAGUACUUCGGUAUGUAAAGCUCUAUCAGCAGGGAAGAAAAUGACGGUACCUGAUUAAGAAGCCCCGGCUAACUACGUGCCAGCAGCCGCGGUAAUACGUAGGGGGCAAGCGUUAUCCGGAUUUACUGGGUGUAAAGGGAGCGUAGACGGCAGCGCAAGUCUGGAGUGAAAUCCCGGGGCUCAACCCCGGGACUGCUUUGGAAACUGUGAAGCUGGAGUGCAGGAGAGGCAG
Molecule: ribosomal RNA, 305 nt
Filed under: uncultured bacterium
Lineage: Bacteria
Description: bacterial SSU rRNA
Rfam family: Bacterial small subunit ribosomal RNA
Source: RNAcentral